This 650-nucleotide ribosomal RNA is filed under the name uncultured bacterium. RNAcentral describes it as "bacterial SSU rRNA". The stretch from base 1 to 548 matches the Rfam family "Bacterial small subunit ribosomal RNA", at positions 338 to 873 of the family's 1533-position model. The record is from RNAcentral.
CCUACGGGAGGCAGCAGUGGGGAAUAUUGGACAAUGGGCGAAAGCCUGAUCCAGCCAUGCCGCGUGUGUGAAGAAGGUCUUCGGAUUGUAAAGCACUUUAAGUUGGGAGGAAGGGUUGUAGAUUAAUACUCUGCAAUUUUGACGUUACCGACAGAAUAAGCACCGGCUAACUCUGUGCCAGCAGCCGCGGUAAUACAGAGGGUGCAAGCGUUAAUCGGAAUUACUGGGCGUAAAGCGCGCGUAGGUGGUUUGUUAAGUUGGAUGUGAAAGCCCCGGGCUCAACCUGGGAACUGCAUCCAAAACUGGCAAGCUAGAGUACGGUAGAGGGUGGUGGAAUUUCCUGUGUAGCGGUGAAAUGCGUAGAUAUAGGAAGGAACACCAGUGGCGAAGGCGACCACCUGGACUGAUACUGACACUGAGGUGCGAAAGCGUGGGGAGCAAACAGGAUUAGAUACCCUGGUAGUCCACGCCGUAAACGAUGUCAACUAGCCGUUGGAAUCCUUGUAGUAUUAGUUAGGUCGCAGCUACGACGAUAAGUUAGUACCGCCGUGGGAGGUACGGUCCGGUCGAACGGUUAAACGUUAACGUAAAGUUAGUUAAGUUAGUUACGGCGUUGAGACGUUGCCGACGGACGACGACGAGGGAGGAGG